Meleagris gallopavo (turkey) is the source of this 1278-nucleotide non-coding RNA. The record is from RefSeq and is a predicted model, not a curated record. Lineage: Eukaryota; Metazoa; Chordata; Aves; Galliformes; Phasianidae.
UGCGCAUGCGCCCCCGCUCCCGGCUGGUAGGCGGCCCCUCGGCUGAGACCACGCUCCCGCCCCGCGAGGCCACGCCCCCCAGCUGCUGGCGGGAACCUGCAGGCCGGUCGCCUGCCGGGCUCCGUGCGAUGAGCCCCGCGGGGAGAAGCGUGUUCCGUCGGGCUGGGUGGUUAUGAGGCGUAACGUUACCCCAUAGCGCAGUUGGAGGAGCACCUCGGGUUUGGGAACAGGCUGCCUUCGUAUCGCAGAGGAAAGAAGUGCAGAGGGUUCAGCGUGAGUUGUGUGGUGAAGCCAAGCUGGAGGUACGGCAAAUAACGAUGAGAUUUAGCUGCGAUGAGUGGCAGCCGUCACAACACAGAGACAUCCCAGACAAGGCUGCGGAGCCCUGCAGUGACGGAAGUGAUCCUCUGUGCUAAGCCAGACACAGGGCUUGCUCAGCACGAAUAGCAAAACAACAGGGAGCUGCGAGCAUCCAAGCGCUGACAGGCGCUGACGGUCUGGAGUGCUAUCAAAACAUCUUGGCCGGAGCUCACAGCGAGCAAAAGAAGUGAAUCCCUACAGCGGGCCUGCUUCUAGCCGGGGGCACAGACAGACAGCUAUGGACGGAGCCACAGAAGGAGCUGAGCCCCAGCACGAGGCCUAAAGCCAUCCUUGCAUACAGCUGGGACUGAGGGCACACCGCCAGCACGGGCACGGCUGAACGCGCUCCAUGGACCUCAGCUCAUCAUGAAGCCCCUCGCUCUCCAUGCAAAGGGUAAGGAUGUGGCAUUACACAGCAAUUAGGAAACGCAGCAGAAAUGCAGAACUGGACAAAGGAGAGAUGAACGCACCCUUUGUGUGAGCUGCCGGGGAAGAAAUGAAAUGGUUUAGAUAAAAUAAAGGGCACGCACGCUAAUCUGUGUCAUUGGAAUUAUGUUGAGAAUUGGAAAGAGAGUUAAAAAUAGACUGAAUGCAGCACUGCUGAUAAGAGUUGAGAAAUUUGCCGUCGCUGAGCUGGAUGGAUAAUAGACAUCCUUACAAAAAAAAAAGUGCUAAUGACUAAAGAGAUUUAGAAGAGAACUGCGCAGGGCAGACAGACUGCUGCACAAGCUGUGUUCCAGCCUUGCCCCUGCCAGUGACCGGCGACUGCGUGCAGCCCCAGGCAGAGCACAAAGCAGCACAGAGCUGUCACAGCUUAUCUGUCUGCAGCGGGGAGCUGGCCAGCCCAAAUCUGAGCGCUGAUGCUCACGAGCACUCUGAGUGCCUGGGGAGGAUCAAAAGUACUUUGCAAAAAAGAAA